ACGGGUGAGUAACGCGUGGGAAUUUGCCUUUUAGUGAAGGAUACCCUCGAGAAAUCGAGGUUAAUACUGCAUAAGUCUAGAAAUAGAGAAAGGUGGCUUUAUGCUAUCGCUAGAAGAGGAGCCUGCGUACUAUUAGCUAGUUGGUGGGGUAAAGGCCUACCAAGGCGAUGAUGGUUAACCGGCCUGAGAGGGUGUACGGUCACACUGGAACUGAGACACGGUCCAGACUCCUACGGGAGGCAGCAGUGAGGAAUAUUGCGCAAUGGGCGAAAGCCUGACGCAGCGACGCCGCGUGGAGGAUGAAGGUCUUAGGAUUGUAAACUUCUGUUAAGCGGGAAGAAAAGCAAAGUUCUAAUACAACUUUGUUAUGACGGUACCGCUAGAGAAAGCACCGGCUAAACUCGUGCCAGCAGCCGCGGUAAUACGAGUGGUGCAAGCGUUAUUCGGAUUUAUUGGGCGUACAGGGUGCGCAGGCGGCGUAUUAAGUCAAUUGUCAAAAACCUUGGCCUAACUGAGGAUCGGCAGUAGAUACUGGUAUGCUAGAGGGUGGAAGAGAGAAGUGGAAUUCUUGGAGUAGCGGUAAAAUG
Molecule: ribosomal RNA, 587 nt
Filed under: uncultured bacterium
Lineage: Bacteria
Description: bacterial SSU rRNA
Rfam family: Bacterial small subunit ribosomal RNA
Source: RNAcentral